Molecule: ribosomal RNA, 882 nt
Filed under: Salmonella enterica
Lineage: Bacteria; Pseudomonadati; Pseudomonadota; Gammaproteobacteria; Enterobacterales; Enterobacteriaceae
Description: partial 23S ribosomal RNA
Rfam family: Bacterial large subunit ribosomal RNA
Source: RNAcentral
AAGCGCAUGUGCUGUGAGCUCGAUGAGUAGGGCGGGACACGUGGUAUCCUGUCUGAAUAUGGGGGGACCAUCCUCCAAGGCUAAAUACUCCUGACUGACCGAUAGUGAACCAGUACCGUGAGGGAAAGGCGAAAAGAACCCCGGCGAGGGGAGUGAAAAAGAACCUGAAACCGUGUACGUACAAGCAGUGGGAGCACCCUUUGGGUGUGACUGCGUACCUUUUGUAUAAUGGGUCAGCGACUUAUAUUCUGUAGCAAGGUUAACCGAAUAGGGGAGCCGGAGGGAAACCGAGUCUUAAUUGGGCGUUAAGUUGCAGGGUAUAGACCCGAAACCCGGUGAUCUAGCCAUGGGCAGGUUGAAGGUUGGGUAACACUAACUGGAGGACCGAACCGACUAAUGUUGAAAAAUUAGCGGAUGACCUGUGGCUGGGGGUGAAAGGCCAAUCAAACCGGGAGAUAGCUGGUUCUCCCCGAAAGCUAUUUAGGUAGCGCCUCGUGAAUUCAUCUCCGGGGGUAGAGCACUGUUUCGGCUAGGGGGCCAUCCCGGCUUACCAACCCGAUGCAAACUGCGAAUACCGGAGAAUGUUAUCACGGGAGACACACGGCGGGUGCUAACGUCCGUCGUGAAGAGGGAAACAACCCAGACCGCCAGCUAAGGUCCCAAAGUCAUGGUUAAGUGGGAAACGAUGUGGGAAGGCCCAGACAGCCAGGAUGUUGGCUUAGAAGCAGCCAUCAUUUAAAGAAAGCGUAAUAGCUCACUGGUCGAGUCGGCCUGCGCGGAAGAUGUAACGGGGCUAAACCAUGCACCGAAGCUGCGGCAGCGACACUGUGUGUUGUUGGGUAGGGGAGCGUUCUGUAAGCCUGUGAAGGUGUGUCGUGAGGC